Molecule: long non-coding RNA, 523 nt
Filed under: Cricetulus griseus (Chinese hamster)
Lineage: Eukaryota; Metazoa; Chordata; Mammalia; Rodentia; Cricetidae
Description: lncRNA (ENSCGRG00000024821.1)
Source: RNAcentral
GUUUUACUGUAUUUCUUUUAUGGUGCUAGGGAUGGAACUCAGGGUUUAUGCAUACUCUACAAAGUAUUCUGCCACUGAACUACAGCCAUGUCCUGCUGCUGGAAGUAUUGUAAAUGGGAAAGAUCCAGAACCAAGAUAAUGUGAUGAGAGGUUAAAAAUGAAGAUUCAAUCAACUGUGGCUGAAAUCUCUGGCUCCACCGUCACUAGCAGGUGAUGCUCCAGCAGUCAACUUUGAUAACGCAGAAUUCCAAGUACCAUGAGACUGCCUUUGAACCUCCUGCAACAUUCAUUUGGCCAGGACUCUUGAAGCAAUCUGUGCAGUUUGGAAAUGCAAGGGUCUUGGAGAAAUGCUACACUUAGAAUUUCAUGGGAAGGAGGCAUUGCUUCAUGGGAGGAAGUAGUGAGGAAUAUGGAAACACCUGAUCUCUCUGCCUUCCAACUUCAAAUGUGUGCCAAACUCAAGACCUCCAAAUCAGGCAUGUCUCAGCGAGUCUUUCAUGGUGCUUCCAGAAGUGUAGGGUGA